RNAcentral lists this small RNA (47 nucleotides) under Tannerella forsythia 92A2. Its description in RNAcentral is "Acido-Lenti-1 RNA". It matches the Rfam family "Acido-Lenti-1 RNA". The record is from Rfam by way of RNAcentral. Lineage: Bacteria; Pseudomonadati; Bacteroidota; Bacteroidia; Bacteroidales; Tannerellaceae.
CCCAAGGCUUACGCCAUUGGGCUGAAAUAUAACGGACUUUCAGUCCU